GGAGGUGUAGCUCAGAGGUAGAGUGCUCGCCUAGCAUGCAUGAGGUCCCAGGUUCAAUCCCCAGCGCUGCCA
RNAcentral lists this transfer RNA (72 nucleotides) under Neotoma lepida (desert woodrat). It matches the Rfam family "tRNA". From Rfam's summary of the family: Transfer RNA (tRNA) molecules are approximately 80 nucleotides in length. Their secondary structure includes four short double-helical elements and three loops (D, anti-codon, and T loops). Further hydrogen bonds mediate the characteristic L-shaped molecular structure. tRNAs have two regions of fundamental functional importance: the anti-codon, which is responsible for specific mRNA codon recognition, and the 3' end, to which the tRNAs corresponding amino acid is attached (by aminoacyl-tRNA synthetases). tRNAs cope with the degeneracy of the genetic code in two manners: having more than one tRNA (with a specific anti-codon) for a particular amino acid; and 'wobble' base-pairing, i.e. permitting non-standard base-pairing at the 3rd anti-codon position. Lineage: Eukaryota; Metazoa; Chordata; Mammalia; Rodentia; Cricetidae. The record is from Rfam by way of RNAcentral.